ACUAUGGGUAGUCACCGGGUGCCGCAGAAGCCCUGCCCGCCUGCUGCUUGGUGUUUAGCACAACACCCGGUGCCAAGCAGGUGUUCAGAGCUGAGAACGGUUGGAAAACUGGAUGGAAACAGCCGGGCCUCGAAGUGGGCAGUGGUGUGGCGAUUGAGGUGAGAGGGCAGCUGACACGAGUUUGACCUACUUUAUUAUCUUGCUCCAGGUGCUGACAGCUGAGCCAUUCCACACACCUUUGGGGCAAAGAAGUGCCGGAAGCCAGGGCCAAGUUCAAAGACCAAACAUUCUUUCCAAGGCGACCAGAAGCACCCUGGAGGGCUGGCUCCUAGUUACAUAAACCGCAGUCCCGUCCCACUGUCCCAGAGCUGUUGAGGAGACGCUGAGGAUUGAAAAGGUGCAGACCGUUCCUGCUCGUCUCCGACACAUUUCCCAGACACCGGGAUCACUGUCUGAAACCACUGGCCACCCUCUGCAGGCUGGAG
This 485-nucleotide long non-coding RNA is filed under the name Rattus norvegicus (Norway rat). RNAcentral's name for it is "long non-coding RNA NONRATT025749". Lineage: Eukaryota; Metazoa; Chordata; Mammalia; Rodentia; Muridae. The record is from RNAcentral.